GUGGGGAAUAUUGGACAAUGGGGGGAACCCUGAUCCAGCCAUGCCGCGUGUGUGAAGAAGGCCUUUUGGUUGUAAAGCACUUUAAGCGAGGAGGAGGCUACCGAGAUUAAUACUCUUGGAUAGUGGACGUUACUCGCAGAAUAAGCACCGGCUAACUCUGUGCCAGCAGCCGCGGUAAUACAGAGGGUGCAAGCGUUAAUCGGAUUUACUGGGCGUAAAGCGCGCGUAGGUGGCCAAUUAAGUCAAAUGUGAAAUCCCCGAGCUUAACUUGGGAAUUGCAUGCGAUACUGGUUGGCUAGAGUAUGGGAGAGGAUGGUAGAAUUCCAGGUGUAGCGGUGAAAUGCGUAGAGAUCUGGAGGAAUACCGAUGGCGAAGGCAGCCAUCUGGCCUAAUACUGACACUGAGGUGCGAAAGCAUGGGGAGCAAACAGGAUUAGAAACCCUGGUAGUCC
Molecule: ribosomal RNA, 451 nt
Filed under: uncultured bacterium
Lineage: Bacteria
Description: partial 16S ribosomal RNA
Rfam family: Bacterial small subunit ribosomal RNA
Source: RNAcentral